AGUAUUUUGAUAUCAUUUCAACCACACAUUUUUCAAUAAAAUAAUAUUAUACGCAAAUCCAAAAAUUUUCCUUAUUUUUUAACCACACAUUUUCCAUCAAUAAACUAUUCAAAAUUCAUUCUUUCCACAAAAUGGGGCUCAAACAAACGGCCAAGUUAGGAUUCGAGGUAUUCUCACUCUGAGGAUAACAAUAAUCAUACGAAAAUUGAUAUAUAAGUAUGCUAUGUAUGAAGUUAUAUUACCAUUGUCCCAAAUACAAAAAGAUCACCUUCUCCUGUUCAAUAUCUGCUUCAAAACAUCUCUUCCAUGUGGUGCAGAGUUUACUCUUUUGAUUAGUUUCUUUACUUUGAGCACAUAAGAGUUACAACAUGAACCUAUAAAAGAUAUUUGUGGGCAUAUCAAAUGUUGUUAUUGUAGAGUAAAAUAAUUGAUUUAUAGUUUUGCUAGCUUAGUGCUCCAAAAGAUCACAAGGUUCAUCGAUCAAAUACAAAAAACACUCUGUCUGUGAAUAAGGUGGUUUCCAAAUUAAAUCUUAGAUUGAAGCAAACCUUCAUUACAUGCUUCCAACUUCUCCAUUUUUUCCUAAAGACUACUAAGUCCAAGGUUCAAAUCCAGGUAAGCCUCAAACUUCUCCUAAAAUAACACAUGCAUACUGUAACACUUUUAUUUAACCUUACAAAGACUGAUCAGAAAAAUAUUGAGCACAAGAAGAAAUUACCUCGACCAACUUCAACCUUUUUAUUUAACCAAAAUAAGCAAAGUAAAUUAUGAUGAUAUACUUAUGAAUGAAUGUCUUAAUCUUCAAUUUUAAUAGAAGGUAUAUUAAAAAAAAAAAAAAAAAAAAAUCUUCCAAAGUUAAAGACUCAUUUCAGGAUGAAUCCAUUUCCUGAAGUUUCAUUUUUGUUAGUUUAGUGAUUUUCC
This 921-nucleotide long non-coding RNA is filed under the name Olea europaea subsp. europaea. The record is from RNAcentral. Lineage: Eukaryota; Viridiplantae; Streptophyta; Magnoliopsida; Lamiales; Oleaceae.